Molecule: unclassified non-coding RNA, 202 nt
Filed under: Hevea brasiliensis (rubber tree)
Lineage: Eukaryota; Viridiplantae; Streptophyta; Magnoliopsida; Malpighiales; Euphorbiaceae
Source: RNAcentral
UAUAUUCGCCAGUAUAAUAAUGUGAAUAUUAAUGUAGCAGUACAGACAGAUAAUGGACUAUAUGUUCCGGUUGUUAGGGAUGCAGACAAGAAAGGUUUGUCUAAAAUUGCUGAGGAGGUCAAGUUUUUGGCGCAGAAAGCCAAAGAGAAUAGCUUGAAACCAGAAGAUUAUGAGGGAGGCACAUUUACUGUGUCAAAUUUGG